UUACACUAAGGAACUUUCAGUUUUCGUUGAUUUUGGCGGCGCCAGUGGACAAAAGCGGUAGUGUUUUGCCUGAAGUAACACUACAGUUCCCAUGAGCACUAGCGCAUGGCGUCGUCAAAUGCUGCUCCCGGUUGCAUGCUGUUGGGCUGAACUCGCUCACAUGUGUUUCCAGUGGCUGUGAAGGAUGGACAGCGACGAGGAAUUCCCUGUCCCAGAAACUACCUCCACCUCUUCUGAGUGUGAGCCCCCACGCACUAGUGCUGGCAGAGGGAGGGGCAGAGGGAGAAGUAGGACACCAGAAGACUUGAACCCCGAGACCCAGCAGAGAGUACAGGAUCUGCACGAACGCAGAAACAGAGAGAUGCAAGCCAGAAUACAAGCACUGGACCACAAUCAGAGGGGAGAGCUCCUAUAAGUGUUCCUUUCAACACCUGGCUUGGUGUUCGACAUUUUGGACCUGCUGGAGGACCCUAAUCGUCAGAGAGUCCCAGGUGGAGGUGAUCUACAUCGGUGCUCCUGCGCAAACUGUAACGAGAUGAACACUGACCUGGAGAGAGUUUUCCAGACCCAAGGGGGCAGUACACCGGAUUCCUGGUCCGCAGACUAAUGUAGCGUGUCAUUGUUUGACUGCACUGUAAUAAGUUUUUAUAGUUUUUUUUGUACAGAAUUUGCCUUUAGACUGUCCACUUGUUGUGUGUGUGUUUCAAAAUAAAUACAUCUGUGCAAAACAA
Molecule: long non-coding RNA, 731 nt
Organism: Salarias fasciatus (jewelled blenny)
Lineage: Eukaryota; Metazoa; Chordata; Actinopteri; Blenniiformes; Blenniidae
Exons: 2
Source: RefSeq, a predicted model, not a curated record